RNAcentral lists this ribosomal RNA (265 nucleotides) under uncultured bacterium. RNAcentral's name for it is "partial 16S ribosomal RNA". It matches the Rfam family "Bacterial small subunit ribosomal RNA", at positions 793 to 1055 of the family's 1533-position model. The record is from RNAcentral.
GUCCUUGCCCUAAACUAUGUAUACUUGGUGUUGUUGGGCUCAACCCUGACAGUACCGUAGCUAACGCGAUAAGUAUACCGCCUGGGGAGUACGCUCGCAAGGGUAAACUCAAAAGAAUUGACGGGGACCCGCACAAGCAGUGGAGCAUGUGGUUUAAUUCGAUGCAACGCGAAGAACCUUACCUGGGCUUGACAUGCAUUUUGACCGCUACAGAGAUGUAGUUUUCUCGCAAGAGACAGAUGCACAGGUGCUGCAUGGCUGUCGU